UUCAAAAAAAGCAUAUUUUGAUUAGAUAUGAACUAUAAAAUAACAUGUCUCUUAUUUUAUCACAUAUGACAAGUUGACUUUGUGUUGAGGAGACAGGGACAUAAGACAUUAGAGUCUAAACAAGCCCACCUGCUGGGACCUUAAUCAAAUAUGUGCAAGCUGUAAACUAGCUGAAGUCCAAUCUGAUUGGUUGAUUACCAGGUGCCAAUAAUUAGCCAGUAUAAAAGCUAUCAUUCACGUCAUCUCCAUGAUAGAGUGCUGUCCAUCUAAACCAGGCGUGCAGCUCAAUUAUGGCAGGUGAAGAUGGAUGGUGCUGCAGGUCACCUCAAGCUGUCGCAGUCAUUUUGCUCCUGUACUCUUUAGCCCCGAGUUUAACUUGUUUUAGCUUGCGAGGGCUGAGCAAAAAUGCUAAACAGGACAAGGUAGUUGAUGAGGCGGCAGUGAGGACAGGAACCGUUCUUUUCAAUGGGAAAGAGCUGAACUCUGGGUCAGGAUCUGCCUCUGCUGCUGCCCCACGUAACAAUGGUUUGCCGCAUGUUGAUUCCGAUCAAUCAGAAGAGAUGUUUGCACAGGCAUCACAGCUGAAGGAAGUCAUGGCCAAUGAAGCAGCAUGGAAGCGAUUGAACCCUACACUGCAUUGUGGACAAACCAAGAUGAAGUUUAAAGCCAUGGGACCUGGAGCGGUGGAUUUACAGCUAAAUAUUGGCAAUGAACGUCCCCUUCCUCUGAUCCAGUUGCCGGAAACCUGUGGCUACUUGAUGCAGCAGAAUGCGUUUGGUCUUGUUUUGGUUGUUCCUUAUGACGGCUGCAAUGUUAUACAAGAGAAUGGAGACUAUGUUGUCCCAAUGAGAUGGUUGGAUACCCCAGUGACAUUAAUGUGCCCCAUCUCGCAAAGUCCAGAUGCAACGACUCCAAAACCUCAGCAUGCCUGGAAACAUCCUUUACCUCACAGGCCCUUGAACUCUUAUCGUCCUAAACGACACGCAAUUCACCCCCUUUCCAUGUACGAUCCUAGCAGUCAAUACUAUGCCCAAUUGUAUUACUAUUACAUGUAUAUGAGUCAAGCCCUUGCCACUGCUCCUCCUGCAACUACUGCGCCUCCUGCAACUACGACUCCUCCUGCAACUACUGCUCCUCCUGACACAACCACAGAGAAGCAUCCUGCUUACCCUCCCUAUAUGUAUUACUCCUACUACCCUUACUACUCCUACAACUACCCUCACUACUCCUACAACUACCCUCCAGCAGAACAGUUACCAUCAAACAGCUCAGAAAUUUACUACUACCCAAUCAUCCAGCAUUUCUACGGAAGGCCUCAAUACCCAAAUAAUCCAAGCGAACCGAUGCAAACAACUCCGCAGCCUCCUGCUUCCACAACUAAGCCAGGUGACACGGUUAAACCAAGCUCUACGGCAAAUCCAACUUCUGCUUCUACGGCAAAGCCAACAAAAGCGUCUUCUCCCUCCACAACAACGACUAAAGCAUGUUCCCGCACUACACCAACCAGCAGCAGUGGCGUCUAUCCAGGCACAAUGAAACCAUUUGUUGAGUACUAUGCCCUCCCCUUCACUCCUUUUGUUUCAUACAAAUACAAUAAGGCUGCCAAACUCCGAGAUUACCAAAAGUAUAUGCCUCAAGAUGUGCCAUGGUUUCCCCACUUUGCAGGACAAGACAUUCCUCAAAUUGACUGGAAACAUUUCCAACAUAAACAAGUUUGAAGUCCUAAGGGGGCUGGUUUCCUGUAAUCCCGAGCCUUCAAUAAAGAUGUUUACUUGGAACUUUUUCUUAUUCAAGCUUUGAGUGUCAUGCAGGGGUUUCUCCUCUUGUGCUAAUCUUGUUGGCACAACCCUGGGGUUGGACAGUGGUAGGACAUGCAAUUCAACAUCAGGACUUUAAUCAAAAUCUCUCCUAGUUGAUGGGAAGUCUUGAAAGGUCUAGUAACAUCUGAUGGUGCCUAAAUUGUGGUUGAACUCCUUGGUAAUGGGCAAAAUACCCAAAUCUGAGCACUCAAUGGAUAAACUAAAGCAGAGGUUGCUAAAUACCUGAGCAAUGGGCUAAAAGUAAAAUGCGUUCAUUUUUGCAAGUUACAGGUGAACAAAUUACUUCUGCACAAUAACUUUGUAGUUUGCUAGUGGUUUUCCUUAAUCAAAAGACUUAACCUUUAUUGGAAUUCUUUUAAAUUAAAAAAACCUGCCAACCCCCCUUCAAAGUCUUUCCUGUCUCUAAUUUUAUUUUGUGGUAUUACUCUGCUCUGUUCCCUUGUGCAGAGUGCACACAACCCAUUCUGUCCGUUCCUAUAUAUUUCCACAUGGCAGUAUCUCCUCCGGUUACCCUGUGGUAAGACGCACACGAUAUCCUCACCACUGAAAUGAAUCCCCACGUGACAGAGGCAUGCAAUGCUGGUCUCUUUAAAAGCACGAACACUGUCUGUAUUUUUCAGUUUCUAGGGCUCUGAGUGUUCGUUGGCAAGAAUUGGAGCACUAAGCUCAGGACUAAACUAUUCUGCAGAGGCGCAAUAAAUCCUUUAAUCCAUCUGUUCAGCAUUGGGAACAGCAGUUGUCUUUUGCAGCGCUGUUGUCGUUUUGCCAUAAUUGCUGCUUUUGCACUUUUACUUCAAGCAUCUCAUGGUGGCAUGUCAACAAUGUUGGUGAGUGCAAUGUACAUGUGCUAUAUAUUUUACAUUUUGUGCUUAGUUGUUGAACUGCCAUGAUUUUUUGGUUCAGAAAAUUACGAGGAAUGAGCUUUGAUUUUUGUUUACAUGGAAUCAUUAAAACAUGAACAGAACAAGAACAGUGUCUGCAUAUGAAAUGUUUUAAACUUGAAAUAUUUUAACAUGGUUUCAAUUAGUUGAUUUUCUCAAUUACAGGAAAAUUAAAGACAUUGGGAUUAACGUGGAUCAGCAUUGUAAUGGUCGAUUUUUUGGAAGAUCUGCCCCCCACCUCUGAAUAUCCUCAGUGUAUCUUUGGCCGUAUUCCCAGCCAGAGCACUGAGCCCUUCCCCCAAACGUGACAUUUGCCCCACCCUCCCAAUACGUUUGUGUUCAUGGAGGACUAUGAUGUGGACAUGGAGGGAGAAGUAUUCGUGAGGAAGGCCACAGUGGGCCACUGGUGGGAGCACAGUGGAGAGGAUGACGACUGUGACAUACAACACCAGAGAGGAGGAAGAGGCUGCAUGGUAAACAGCCGCAGCUGGGCUGAGGAGCUCCAGGAUAUCUUUGCGCCACAGGCAGUAGACUGUUACAGUGGAGGGCGAACCAGACUCUCCAGUAUCUCU
RNAcentral lists this long non-coding RNA (3273 nucleotides) under Scophthalmus maximus (turbot). Its description in RNAcentral is "lncRNA (ENSSMAG00000025529.1)". The record is from RNAcentral. Lineage: Eukaryota; Metazoa; Chordata; Actinopteri; Pleuronectiformes; Scophthalmidae.